Molecule: ribosomal RNA, 447 nt
Filed under: uncultured bacterium
Lineage: Bacteria
Description: partial 16S ribosomal RNA
Rfam family: Bacterial small subunit ribosomal RNA
Source: RNAcentral
AACGAACGCUGGCGGCAGGCCUAAUACAUGCAAGUCGAACGCACCGCAAGGUGAGUGGCAGACGGGUGAGUAACGCGUGGGAAUCUUCCUUGCAGUACGGAAUAACUCCGGGAAACCGGUGCUAAUACCGUAUACGUCCUUCGGGAGAAAGAUUUAUCGCUGCAAGAUGAGCCCGCGUCGGAUUAGCUAGUUGGUGGGGUAAAGGCCUACCAAGGCUACGAUCCGUAGCUGGUCUGAGAGGAUGAUCAGCCACACUGGGACUGAGACACGGCCCAGACUCCUACGGGAGGCAGCAGUAGGGAAUAUUGGACAAUGGGCGCAAGCCUGAUCCAGCCAUGCCGCGUGAGUGAAGAAGGCCUUAGGGUUGUAAAGCUCUUUUGGCGGGGAAGAUAAUGACGGUGCCCGCAGAAUAAGCUCCGGCUAACUUCGUGCCAGCCGCCGCCGUAA